UCCCUGGUGGUCCAGUGGUUAGGAUAUUGCACUUUCACUGUGGUGGCCCAGGUUCAGUUCCUAGUUGGGGAA
This 72-nucleotide transfer RNA is filed under the name Capra hircus (goat). It matches the Rfam family "tRNA". Rfam says of the family: Transfer RNA (tRNA) molecules are approximately 80 nucleotides in length. Their secondary structure includes four short double-helical elements and three loops (D, anti-codon, and T loops). Lineage: Eukaryota; Metazoa; Chordata; Mammalia; Artiodactyla; Bovidae. The record is from Rfam by way of RNAcentral. RNAcentral also lists the same sequence under 1 other name.